This 165-nucleotide small nuclear RNA is filed under the name Hucho hucho (huchen). RNAcentral describes it as "U1 spliceosomal RNA (ENSHHUG00000015351.1)". It matches the Rfam family "U1 spliceosomal RNA". From Rfam's summary of the family: U1 is a small nuclear RNA (snRNA) component of the spliceosome (involved in pre-mRNA splicing). Its 5' end forms complementary base pairs with the 5' splice junction, thus defining the 5' donor site of an intron. The record is from Rfam by way of RNAcentral. Lineage: Eukaryota; Metazoa; Chordata; Actinopteri; Salmoniformes; Salmonidae.
AUACUUACCUGGCAAGGGAUAUACCGUGAUCAAGAAGGAUAGUUCACCCAGAGCGAGUCUCAGCCAUUGCACUCCGGCUGUGCUGACCCCUGCGAAUUUCCCAAAUGUGGAAAUCUCGAUUGCAGAAUUUCUGGUAGUGGGGGACUGCGUUCGCGCUCUCCCCUG